CGGUUUUCUUUUGUUGUUUAGUGAAUCGAUCCAGGUUGUUGUACUGAAAGUGGGAAGCAAAUGAAUCGAGUAGCGAACCUGUAGCAGUAGAAAGGAUGUACUAGAGGGAAAUUAAAAUCCAUGUUCCUAAGGACAGAUGAAGCGAUGGAUAGCUCGUGGUGGUAUUUCGCUUCGUUUGCUUUUUUAGUGGCUUGUUGCCUCUCGUAGGCCAAAAUUCAGAUCUCAAUAAAAAUAAAGCAGUGCCGAUCGUCAGUGAAUAGGCUUUCGCCUGUCCCUCUCAUCAUAGGUUUCAUUCCUUGCUUCUCUUCACUUCAAUCGGAAUGCUCUUCUUUUGAUAACUACCUUUCAUUAGUCAUUAGUAUUGGAAAGCUCUGUCCUUUCUUUGUAUUGGGCACGGUUAUUCUUUGGGACUUCGGCUGAGCCGUACCUUUACCUUCUUGGGUUGAGUUCGAUACUCAUGUCUAUUAGUAACAAACUUGGGGCAGCUUAGCAAGUUUAGCGACAAAUGAAGCAUGCUCGGUUUCUUGAUCAGUUUUCUCCUUAAAGUCACACG
This 553-nucleotide long non-coding RNA is filed under the name Citrus maxima (pomelo). RNAcentral describes it as "long non-coding RNA (CMAX_LNC004314)". Lineage: Eukaryota; Viridiplantae; Streptophyta; Magnoliopsida; Sapindales; Rutaceae. The record is from RNAcentral.